GAUGAACGCUAGCUACAGGCUUAACACAUGCAAGUCGCGGGGCAGCAUUUCCUUAGCUUGCUAAGGAAGAUGGCGACCGGCGCACGGGUGAGUAACGCGUAUCCAACCUUCCCAUGUCCACGGGAUAGCCCGUCGAAAGGCGGAUUAAUACCGUAUGAGGUCACAUGCGGGCAUCUAAGUGUGACGAAAGGUUUGGCGGACAUGGAUGGGGAUGCGUCCGAUUAGCUUGACGGCGGGGUAACGGCCCACCGUGGCGACGAUCGGUAGGGGUUCUGAGAGGAAGGUCCCCCACAUUGGAACUGAGACACGGUCCAAAACUCCUACGGGAGGCAGCAGUGAGGAAUAUUGGUCAAUGGGCGAGAGCCUGAACCAGCCAAGUAGCGUGCAGGAAGACGGCCCUAUGGGUUGUAAACUGCUUUUAUAUGGGGAUAAAGUGAGUUACGUGU
This 446-nucleotide ribosomal RNA is filed under the name uncultured bacterium. Its description in RNAcentral is "bacterial SSU rRNA". It matches the Rfam family "Bacterial small subunit ribosomal RNA", at positions 28 to 463 of the family's 1533-position model. The record is from RNAcentral.